UGCCAGCCGCCGCGGUAAUACGGGGGAUGCAAGCGUUAUCCGGAAUCAUUGGGCGUAAAGCGUGCGUAGGCGGUUUAUUAAGUCAGAUGUGAAAGCCCCGGGCUUAACCUUGGAACUGCAUUUGAAACUGGUAAACUAGAGUAUGGUAGAGGAAAGUGGAAUUUCUGGUGUAGCGGUGAAAUGCGUAGAUAUCAGAAGGAACAUCAAUGGCGAAGGCAGCUUUCUGGACCAAUACUGACGCUGAGGUACGAAAGCGUGGGUAGCAAACAGGAUUAGAUA
This 279-nucleotide ribosomal RNA is filed under the name uncultured bacterium. Its description in RNAcentral is "partial 16S ribosomal RNA". It matches the Rfam family "Bacterial small subunit ribosomal RNA", at positions 506 to 784 of the family's 1533-position model. The record is from RNAcentral.